This 228-nucleotide unclassified non-coding RNA is filed under the name uncultured fungus. RNAcentral describes it as "sequence contains ITS1, 5.8S rRNA gene". The stretch from base 180 to 228 matches the Rfam family "5.8S ribosomal RNA", at positions 1 to 49 of the family's 154-position model. The record is from RNAcentral. Lineage: Eukaryota; Fungi.
UCUCCGUAGGUGAACCUGCGGAGGGAUCAUUACUGAGUGAGGGUUUAACCGCCCGACCUCCAACCCUUUGUGAAUCGUACUCGUUGCUUCGGGGGCGACCCUGCCGUCCGCGGCUGAGCGCCCCCGGGGUCAAUCAAACACUGCAUUCUCUGCGUCGGAGUAUUAGUAAAUCUACUCCCAACUUUCCCCACCGGAUCUCUUGGUUCUUGCAUCGAUGAAGAACGCAGC